Molecule: long non-coding RNA, 346 nt
Organism: Physella acuta
Lineage: Eukaryota; Metazoa; Mollusca; Gastropoda; Physidae
Source: RefSeq, a predicted model, not a curated record
AGUUGAAUGAAAGAGUCGUCAUGGCUAAUAAGCUGUUCGUUUCCCUCGUUGUUCUUAUGGUCCUAAUGGCCAGCGCCUCAGCUAGCUUUAAGCUCGCAAGCCUUCUGCUCAGUGAUCUGGGCAAGGGCGGUGGGCACAAUGCGGGGCACCAACAGGGCAACAGUGGGCACUAUGCUAACAACCAGGGGCAUCAAUCUAACGGGGGACUACCUCUCAAAUUUUUUAAACAUGGUUAAAAGCUCCAACUUCUCCAGUCAAACAAGUGUGCGAGUUGACCUCUUCAAGACUCAAGUCUAGAUUGUAGUCGUCCCUUCUGUGUUGUGGUUCAUUAAAAUCGCAAACACAC